Molecule: ribosomal RNA, 516 nt
Filed under: Triticum aestivum (bread wheat)
Lineage: Eukaryota; Viridiplantae; Streptophyta; Magnoliopsida; Poales; Poaceae
Description: partial small subunit ribosomal RNA
Source: RNAcentral
AUGGAGGAGGAGGAGGCCGCCGGCGUGAGGAAGCGGAAGCGGGGCGGGGAGGCCGUCCUCGCCGUGUCCGGCGGGGAGGCGGGGCUCGUCGAGGGAGGCGGCGGCUUCUCGUGGAAGGAGGCGGAGAUGGAGGAGGAGGAGGGGGAGGAGUACGAGGGCAUCGCGGAGGAGUCGGUGGAGGAGGUGAUGCGGUGGCUGGAGCUGGAGAUCUCCUCCUCGCCGGGCAAGGGCGGCGACGACGGGUUCGUGACCAUCAACGGCAACGAGGAGAGCUGCGGCCCGUCCUUCUCCGCCGCGGCGUCCAGCGUGAUGGCCUCCGUGGACACGCGCGCCGGCGCGCCGCCGCCCCCGACGGCCAUCCCCUGGCCGUGGCCCGAGCCCGACGACGACACCAAGGCGGCGGCGGCGGCGGCGCACGGCGACGCCGACGCCGACGCGGACAUGGCGGAGCUCGUCGACGAGGAGUGGCUGGUGGAGCUGCUGACCGGCGGCGGGCCCGCGCUGGAGGUAGAGUAG